Cebus imitator (Panamanian white-faced capuchin) is the source of this 3845-nucleotide RNA transcript. It is a transcript of the gene named C-type lectin domain family 12 member B, with no coding region annotated. The transcript has 6 exons. The record is from RefSeq and is a predicted model, not a curated record. NCBI's taxonomy places the organism in Eukaryota, Metazoa, Chordata, Mammalia, Primates, Cebidae.
AGUGUAGUGUGUAUGGGUCAGUUGAGUGUCUUAUAGAAGCUCCCAGCCUUGAAAAGGACACUCUGUUCCCAGGCCUGAAGAUAUUGAAACAUUAAUUAGAUAAUUUAAAGUAGUGCUUUCUUCUACAAUGUCUGAAGAAGUGACCUACGCGACACUCACAUUUCAGGAUUCUGCUGGAGCAAGAAAUAACCGAGAUGGAAAUAACCUAAGAAAAAGAGCGCAUCCAGCUCCAUCUCCCAUGUGGCGCCACACUGCCCUGGGUCUGCUAACUCUUUGCCUGAUGUUGCUGAUUGGGCUGGUGACACUGGGGAUUAUGUUUUUGCAGAUAUCUAAUGAAAUUAACUCAGGUUCAGAAAUAUUGAGUCAACUUCAGAAAACCGUCGACCAGCAGCAGGAUAACUUGUCCCAGCAACUGGGCAACUCCAAUAACUUGUCCACGAAGGAGGAAUUUCUCAAGUCACACAUCUCCAGUCUAUUGAAUAGGCUGGAACAAAUGGCCGUCAAACUGUGCCAAGAGCUAAUCGUUCAUACCUCAGACCACAGAUGCAAUCCAUGUCCUAAGAUGUGGCAAUGGUACCAAAAUAGUUGCUAUUAUUUUACAACAAAUGAAGAGAAAACAUGGACUAACAGUAGAAAGGACUGCAUAGACAAGAACUCCACUCUAGUGAAGAUAGACAGCUUGGAAGAAAAGGAUUUUCUUAUGUCACAGCCAUUACUCAGAUUUUCGUUCUUCUGGCUGGGAUUAUCCUGGAACUCCUCUGGCCGAAGUUGGUUCUGGGAAGAUGGCUCUGUUCCCUCUCCAUCCUUGUACGUCUCUAACUAUGGAGGGUAAACACAAGCUUUCCAUGGAAUCCUGGGAAAAUUAAUAAUGAUUGUGAGAAUUAUAAAUACAGAUAUAAAAAGAGGAGUACAACACACUGAGAAAAGAGCUCCAGUAACAAAUAUUGAAAGGAGGUAUAGUUCAUUUCAUCUCUGUGACAAAUUUAGGGCAAGGCUCUGAACUUUAUCUUUGGGUAGAAAUGUGUUUACUUACACACACACACACACACACCCCGCUAAUACUACAUUCAAAGUACUUUAUAAAGAUUAACCCGUGAGUAAAUCACCAUUAUAUUCCCAUUUUAUAGGUAGAACUAUUAUCACAAAGAGAUUAAGUAAAUUGCCUGAGAUCACUCAGCUUAUAAAUUGCACGUUAGGGCCUGUGCACUCAGUCACUCAGCUACUCUGACUCUGCAGCACCUACAAUCCAAACGGGUGCUGCUGGUGAUAAGAACACACAUCAACACAUUUAUUUAUACGAAACAACUGUCAGUCAUUUUCUAUCAAAAAGUAAGACUGAAUUGACUGAUUAGCUCAAUUAGUGUCAUGUUGAGGACUUGCCAAUUACAAUAUAUGGAAAGUGUCUUUUAUAAAUUAAACUAAACCUGCCACUUCAGCAUUUAAAUGAAAAUAUUUAAAGCACAUAUAGAAUAUAUAAAACUUGGAAAAUUUCAAUUUUUUAAAAUUAUUUAAAGUUAUGAAAAAAUAGAUGUGUAAGGGGGUAUUAGAUUUGCUAAAUUCUUUCAGAGACUAUAAAACCAAAAAUUUUGAGAAACAGCCCUCAUCAUAACUACAUUUAAAUAAAACAACAGUAUUAAUAUUUUAAAUAUAACAGUAUUUUUAUAUUAGAUAAAAUUAAAAAUUAUUGGCCUCUUAAUGGAUUUUUAAAUUUUUUAUUGAUACAUAAGGGAUACAUAUGUUUUGGGAUAUAUGUGAUAAUUUGAUACAUUCAGAUAUAGUAUGUAAAGAUCAAAUAAGUGGAAUUGGGACAUCUAUCACUUUAAAUAUUUAUCUUUUCUUUAUGCUAGGAGGAGUCAAAUUAUUCUUUUCUCAUUAUCGUGAAAUGCACAGUAGAUUAUUGUUAAUUGUAUUCACCCUAAUAAUCUAUCAAACACUAGGUCUUACUCUUCUAUCUAACAGGAUAUUUGUAUCCAAAAUGGCUUUUUAUCUACCUUCCUCCCCAACAAAUAAUUAUCCAUGCCCCUCCCUCCUGUUUCAUUGUUUAAAGCAUGCUGUCAAGGUUUUCUUAAACUGAAUCAUAAUCUUCGGUCUCCUGUCAAAGAUGCCAUGCUUCAGCUGUGACUCAGCAGCUCCUUCCAUCACAAACAAUGAUAAGUCUAUUAUUUUCUCCCUGGAUACACUUUACCUUCGUCAAUUUCCCAAUGUUUUGUCAUGGCCAUUUUUACUCCAACACUAAUCCUCCAUUCUCUAAUCACCAUUAUUAAUCAUAUUAAGUCAACUAGUCUGGUGUCACACAAAUAAUAAUGACAAAAAGCACAUGCAGAGUAAUACCCAAACAAACAAACAUGACAGUUACUUUUUUGUGACAAGAGCAAUAUUGGGCAUGAACCGAUUAAUAUUAAUCUGAGGUGUUACUACUAGACUGAGGGAUUCGAGGAGCAGUAGGACGACACCGUGUAAACACGUUGAUUUCAUGUUGGAUUCUAAGAUGUGUCCCUUCUCCCAAAGGGAUUCCAAUCAUCCUUGGCCCCUUUACUCACUCUUACUCAAAGUGUAGAGGAAGGGGCCCCAUAGCAGGUUUUGGAGCCUGCGGACCCUGGCCCCUGAGACAUGCAGCUGUCAGAUAAGCCAGCCUGACAAACUCAGGUUAGAGAGACUGAGCUUCCAGAUUGUAUAGCCAUUUCCUUGACUACUGAAUAAAGGCCAAGGCUGUGAUUUAGUAAGCCUAGCCCUGAAGCAAGAAAAUAAAAUGGCAGUGUAAUACAGGUCAUUUAGGAAAACAACAGUGUUGGGCACACAGAAAAUUUAGACCUGACAAGUGUAAUUUUCUAAAGACAUUCUUUCAGUGUUAACAUCAAUUUCUUAGCAGAGGAAGUGAGUACUCUUGUUGGAACCAUAUCUAUAUAGUCAUUCAUUUCCUCUCUUAAUGUCUGUCUUGUUCUCUUUUUACCUAACACAUAUGUAUAACUAUGUAAAAAGUUAUAUUUGCGCAUAGUAAAAUGUGGUAACUUUUUACAACAUAAUGUAGUUUUAUUUCUAUGUUUUCUUCAUAAAGUCUCAAAGAACUUCAAGUACUUGUAAUAUAAGCUGAACUGGAUGGAUUUCAUUCAUGGAAUUCCAUAUUUAUGAAGGAAAUACAAACUCUCAGCCCAGGAUUUAAGUAUUUCUUUUAAAGAAUUCUACCUGGGAUCAUGAUAAACUUAAAACAAAGAGCUCAGAUGUGCCAGCUCUAGGCAGCUUCAGAUUUUGAAGUUUUGUGGAGGCAGAAGUCCCUCAAUAUUCACAUACAUGACGUUGGUUUUAAGAGCAACUGAGAGCACUAAACAGUGAUCAUAUUUCAAAUAUAGAAUUUAUAAUUAAUUUUAAAUUGAUUAAUUUUCAGAUUUAGUACUAAAGAACUUGACCAGAUCAACGGAUCCAAAAGAUGUGCUUAUUUUCAAAAAGGAAAUAUUCAUAUUUCUCGCUGUAGUGCUGAAAUAUUUUGGAUUUGCGAGAAGACAGCUGUCCCGGUGAAGAUUGAGGAUUUGGAUUAGUAUGUUUCUUCCAAAUUCUCCAAGAAGCAGGAGUUUUGUGAGUAAUCCCAUGUGAGGAAAGAGGAAACUACAGUACCAGAACCAAGAGCAGCUUUCAAAAUGACUGUGUAUUUACAUCAUCAGACAAAUGAACUUGCUUAACGGAACAUUCUCCAGUCCCUUGUCUGAUGCCUUCUGAUUUUAUGUUAUUAUUCAGUCUUAAAAUAAUCCCUGGGGACCAAGGGGAAUAGCCAUACUAUGGCCUUAUGAUUGUCUCUCAUUUCACUGAAUUUAUUUGCUUUUUCAAAUAAAGAUUCAUUUCUUACAUUAUUA